This 403-nucleotide ribosomal RNA is filed under the name uncultured bacterium. RNAcentral describes it as "partial 16S ribosomal RNA". It matches the Rfam family "Bacterial small subunit ribosomal RNA", at positions 30 to 526 of the family's 1533-position model. The record is from RNAcentral.
AUUGAACGCUGGCGGCAGGCCUAACACAUGCAAGUCGAGCGAGCGGCGGACGGGUGAGUAAUGUAUGGGGACUGCCCGUUAGAGGGGGAUCACUACUGGAAACGGUAUCUAAUACCGCAUACUAUCGGAUAACCCAUAUGGGAUUAGCUAGUGGGUGAGGUAAUGGCGCACCUAGGCGACGAUCCCUAGCUGGUCUGAGAGGAUGAUCAGCCACACUGGGACUGAGACACGGCCCAGACUCCUACGGAGGCAGCAGUGGGGAAUAUUGCGCAAUGGGCGAAAGCCUGAUGCAGCCAUGCCGCGUGUGUGAAGAAGGCCCUAGGGUCGUAAAGUACUUUCAGUCGAGAGGCGUUAACGAAAGAAGAAGCACCGGCUAACUACGUGCCAGCAGCCGCGGUAAUUC